This 1002-nucleotide ribosomal RNA is filed under the name Kocuria sp. ESDP1_III. RNAcentral describes it as "bacterial SSU rRNA". It matches the Rfam family "Bacterial small subunit ribosomal RNA", at positions 64 to 1076 of the family's 1533-position model. Lineage: Bacteria; Bacillati; Actinomycetota; Actinomycetes; Micrococcales; Micrococcaceae. The record is from RNAcentral.
GAACGAUGAUGCCCAGCUUGCUGGGCGGAUUAGUGGCGAACGGGUGAGUAAUACGUGAGUAACCUGCCCUUGACUCUGGGAUAAGCCUGGGAAACUGGGUCUAAUACUGGAUACUACCUCUUACCGCAUGGUGGGUGGUGGAAAGGGUUUUACUGGUUUUGGAUGGGCUCACGGCCUAUCAGCUUGUUGGUGGGGUAAUGGCUCACCAAGGCGACGACGGGUAGCCGGCCUGAGAGGGUGACCGGCCACACUGGGACUGAGACACGGCCCAGACUCCUACGGGAGGCAGCAGUGGGGAAUAUUGCACAAUGGGCGGAAGCCUGAUGCAGCGACGCCGCGUGAGGGAUGACGGCCUUCGGGUUGUAAACCUCUUUCAGUAGGGAAGAAGCGAGAGUGACGGUACCUGCAGAAGAAGCGCCGGCUAACUACGUGCCAGCAGCCGCGGUAAUACGUAGGGCGCAAGCGUUGUCCGGAAUUAUUGGGCGUAAAGAGCUCGUAGGCGGUUUGUCGCGUCUGCUGUGAAAGCCCGGGGCUCAACCCCGGGUCUGCAGUGGGUACGGGCAGACUAGAGUGCAGUAGGGGAGACUGGAAUUCCUGGUGUAGCGGUGAAAUGCGCAGAUAUCAGGAGGAACACCGAUGGCGAAGGCAGGUCUCUGGGCUGUUACUGACGCUGAGGAGCGAAAGCAUGGGGAGCGAACAGGAUUAGAUACCCUGGUAGUCCAUGCCGUAAACGUUGGGCACUAGGUGUGGGGGACAUUCCACGUUUUCCGCGCCGUAGCUAACGCAUUAAGUGCCCCGCCUGGGGAGUACGGCCGCAAGGCUAAAACUCAAAGGAAUUGACGGGGGCCCGCACAAGCGGCGGAGCAUGCGGAUUAAUUCGAUGCAACGCGAAGAACCUUACCAAGGCUUGACAUUCACCGGACCGCCCCAGAGAUGGGGUUUCCCUUCGGGGCUGGUGGACAGGUGGUGCAUGGUUGUCGUCAGCUCGUGUCGUGAGAUGUU